Molecule: non-coding RNA, 23 nt
Filed under: Arabidopsis thaliana (thale cress)
Lineage: Eukaryota; Viridiplantae; Streptophyta; Magnoliopsida; Brassicales; Brassicaceae
Source: RNAcentral
GCAGUUGGAGCAGUACUGGGCCA